CCUACGGGUGGCAGCAGUGAGGAAUAUUGGUCAAUGGCCGCAAGCCUGAACCAGCCAAGUCGCGUGAGGGAAUAAGGCCCUAUGGGUCGUAAACCUCUUUUGUCAGGGAGUAAAGGCGUCCACGUGUGGACGAGAGGAGAGUACCUGAAGAAUAAGCACCGGCUAACUACGUGCCAGCAGCCGCGGUAAUACGUAGGGUGCGAGCGUUAAUCGGAAUUACUGGGCGUAAAGGGUGUGCAGGCGGCUGAGUAAGUCAGAUGUGAAAUCCCCGGGCUUAACCUGGGAACCGCAUAUGUGACUGCUUGGCUAGAGUGCGUCAGAGGGAGGUGGAAUUCGACGUGUAGCAGUGAAAUGCGUAGAUAUGUGGAAGAACACCGAUGGCGAAGGCAGCCUGCUGGAACGCAACUGACGCUCAUACACGAAAGCGUGGGGAGCAAACAGGAUUAGAUACCCCAGUAGUC
RNAcentral lists this ribosomal RNA (461 nucleotides) under uncultured bacterium. RNAcentral's name for it is "partial 16S ribosomal RNA". It matches the Rfam family "Bacterial small subunit ribosomal RNA", at positions 338 to 795 of the family's 1533-position model. The record is from RNAcentral.